GGGUGUAGACCCGAAACCAAGUGAUCUACCCAUGGUCAGGUUGAAGCUUCGGUAAUACGAAGUGGAGGACCGAACCCGUUGACGUUGAAAAGUCUUGGGAUGAGCUGUGGGUAGGGGUGAAAGGCCAAUCAAACUCCGUGAUAGCUGGUUCUCCCCGAAAUGCAUUUAGGUGCAGCCUCGGGAUUUAGUAUCGUAGAGGUAGAGCUACUGAUUGGGCUAGGGGGCUUCACCGCCUACCAAACCCUGAUAAACUCCGAAUGCUACGAUAUAUACCCGGGAGUGAGGGCAUGGGUGCUAAGGUCCAUGUCCGAGAGGGAAAGAACCCAGACUAUCUGCUAAGGUCCCAAAGUGUAUGCUAAGUUGAUCAAACGUGGUGCGGUUGCACAGACAGCUAGGAUGUUGGCUUGGAAGCAGCCAUUCAUUUAAAGAGUGCGUAACAGCUCACUAGUCGAGCGGUCGAGCGUGGAUAAUAAUCGGGCAUAAGCAUGAUACCGAAGCUAUGGAUUUAUGGUAGGGGAGCAUUCCAGCCGCGUUGAAGGUGCAUCGUGAGAUGUGCUGGAGCAUCUGGAAAAGAAAAUGUAGGCAUAAGUAACGAUAAUUAAGGCGAAAAACCUUAACACCGUAAGACUAAGGUUUCCUGAUCAAUGCUAAUCAGAUCAGGGUUAGUCGGGACCUAAGGCGUACCCGUUUGGGGAAGUCGAUGGAUAACAGGUUAAUAUUCCUGUACU
Molecule: ribosomal RNA, 728 nt
Filed under: Trieres chinensis
Lineage: Eukaryota; Bacillariophyta; Thalassiosirophyceae; Eupodiscales; Parodontellaceae
Description: partial Bacterial large subunit ribosomal RNA
Rfam family: Bacterial large subunit ribosomal RNA
Source: RNAcentral